RNAcentral lists this ribosomal RNA (249 nucleotides) under uncultured bacterium. Its description in RNAcentral is "partial 16S ribosomal RNA". It matches the Rfam family "Bacterial small subunit ribosomal RNA", at positions 9 to 256 of the family's 1533-position model. The record is from RNAcentral.
GAGUUUUAUCCUGGCUCAGGACGAACGCUGGCGGCGUGCUUAACACACGCAUGUCGAACGGAAAGGCCCUGCUUUUGAGGGGUGCACGAGUGGCGAACGGGUGAGUAACACGUGAGUAACCUGCCCUUGACUUUGGGAUAACUUCAGGAAACUGGGGCUAAUACCGGAUAGGAGCUCCUGCUGCAUGGUGGGGGUUGGAAAGUUUCGGCGGUUGGGGAUGGACUCUCGUCUUAUCAGCUUGUUGGUGGG